This 253-nucleotide ribosomal RNA is filed under the name uncultured bacterium. Its description in RNAcentral is "partial 16S ribosomal RNA". It matches the Rfam family "Bacterial small subunit ribosomal RNA", at positions 524 to 776 of the family's 1533-position model. The record is from RNAcentral.
UACAGAGGGGGCAAGCGUUGUUCGGAAUUACUGGGCGUAAAGGGCGCGUAGGCGGCCCGCUAAGUCGAACGUGAAAUCCCCGGGCUCAACCCGGGAACUGCGUCCGAUACUGGCAGGCUUGAAUUCGGGAGAGGGAUGCGGAAUUCCAGGUGUAGCGGUGAAAUGCGUAGAUAUUCGGAAGAACACCAGUGGCGAAGGCGGCUCACUGGACCGGCAUUGACGCUGAGGUGCGAAAGCGUGGGGAGCAAACAGG